CCUACGGGCGGCAGCAGUGAGGAAUAUUGGUCAAUGGACGAGAGUCUGAACCAGCCAAGUAGCGUGAAGGAUGACUGCCCUAUGGGUUGUAAACUUCUUUUAUAUGGGAAUAAAACGUUCCACGUGUGGGAUUUUGUAUGUACCAUAUGAAUAAGGAUCGGCUAACUCCGUGCCAGCAGCCGCGGUAAUACGGAGGAUCCGAGCGUUAUCCGGAUUUAUUGGGUUUAACGGGAGCGUAGGUGGAUUGUUAAGUCAGUUGUGAAAGUUUGCGGCUCAACCGUAAAAUUGCAGUUGAAACUGGCAGUCUUGAGUACAGUAGAGGUGGGCGGAAUUCGUGGUGUAGCGGUGAAAUGCUUAGAUAUCACGAAGAACUCCGAUUGCGAAGGCAGUUCACUGGACUGCAACUGACACUGAGGCUCGAAAGUGUGGGUAUCAAACAGGAUUAGAGACCCCUGUAGUC
This 460-nucleotide ribosomal RNA is filed under the name uncultured bacterium. RNAcentral's name for it is "partial 16S ribosomal RNA". It matches the Rfam family "Bacterial small subunit ribosomal RNA", at positions 338 to 795 of the family's 1533-position model. The record is from RNAcentral.